Molecule: unclassified non-coding RNA, 253 nt
Filed under: uncultured Bacillaceae bacterium
Lineage: Bacteria; Bacillati; Bacillota; Bacilli; Caryophanales; Bacillaceae
Description: contains 16S-23S intergenic spacer region
Rfam family: Bacterial small subunit ribosomal RNA
Source: RNAcentral
UACGUAGGUGGCAAGCGUUAUCCGGAAUUAUUGGGCGUAAAGCGCGCGCAGGCGGUCUUUUAAGUCUGAUGUGAAAUCUCGGGGCUCAACCCCGAGCGGUCAUUGGAAACUGGGGAACUUGAGUGCAGAAGAGGAAAGUGGAAUUCCAAGUGUAGCGGUGAAAUGCGUAGAUAUGUGGAGGAACACCAGUGGCGAAGGCGACUCUCUGGUCUGUAACUGACGCUGAGACGCGAAAGCGUGGGGAGCGAACAGG